UACAGAGGGGGCAAGCGUUGUUCGGAAUUACUGGGCGUAAAGGGCGCGUAGGCGGCCGCUUAAGUCAGACGUGAAAUCCCUUGGCUCAACCAAGGAACUGCGUCUGAUACUGAGUGGCUCGAGUCCGGGAGAGGGAAGCGGAAUUCCAGGUGUAGCGGUGAAAUGCGUAGAUAUCUGGAGGAACACCGGUGGCGAAGGCGGCUUCCUGGACCGGUUACUGACGCUGAGGCGCGAAAGCCAGGGGAGCAAA
RNAcentral lists this ribosomal RNA (250 nucleotides) under uncultured bacterium. RNAcentral describes it as "partial 16S ribosomal RNA". It matches the Rfam family "Bacterial small subunit ribosomal RNA", at positions 524 to 772 of the family's 1533-position model. The record is from RNAcentral.